AACGAACGCUGGCGGCAUGCCUAACACAUGCAAGUCGAACGGGACCUCCGUGUUUGCUGGCUCACGGGGGCGUAACGUGGGGGAACCUGCCCUUAUGUUCGGCAUAAUACCCUGAAAGGGGUGCUAAUAACGGGUAAUUUCUUCGGAUAAUAGAUUUUUCGCCUUUGGAUGGGCGCGCGUUGGAUUAGCGAGUCGGUAGGGUAAAAGCCUACCAAGGCGACGAUCGAUAGCUGGGCUGAGAGGAUGCUCAGCGACACUGGGACUGAGGCGCGGCCCAGACUACUACGGGAGGCAGCAGAGGGGAAUAUUGGACAAUGGGCGAAAGCCUGAUGCAGCAAUGCCGCGUAAGUGAUGAAGGCCGUAGAGUUGUAAAGCUCUUUUACCCGGGAUGAUAGUGACAGUACCGGGAGAAUAAGCACCGGCUAACUCCGUG
This 433-nucleotide ribosomal RNA is filed under the name uncultured bacterium. Its description in RNAcentral is "partial 16S ribosomal RNA". It matches the Rfam family "Bacterial small subunit ribosomal RNA", at positions 29 to 507 of the family's 1533-position model. The record is from RNAcentral.